UAACCACUGUGGCACUCAGGGCCUCAUCAAUUGAGCGUAGAGUUGGAAUGGCCAGUUUUCAUCAAGGAGAGAGAUGCGGGAUAGGGAAUGAGCUCAUGAAUUCAGCCUGGGACACAAGAUUGAAAAGGACAGCUAAGAACAUUCCUGAGCAAGAACUGUGCUGUGACAUGGAGAUGGAAGGGUUUACGAGAGAGGGUUCUCAUCUCCCCAUUCUAGGUAACAGUCGGGAUGGUGAGAGCCAGCAGGGACCUUUGAGCCCAUCAGCCUUAACCCAGGAGAAACCAGGAGCUGAGGAAGCCAUUCGUGAAUAUCCUGUAUUUGUGGAGCAUUUGCGGGUGAGCCCAGACCUUCCGCAGCGUCAGAGAGUUCCGGCAACAAAUGGUUUCCAUGCACGUGGCUCAGAUGUUAAAAGUCUGGAUUGUGACCCAGCUUUGCAUAAUUGUCGGAAAAGUUAUAUAGCUAAGAGAUCGGGUGACAGUGACACCUGUGGGAAGGCCUUCAGCCAUUCUGUGGAAGUUAUUCAAUUUGGAAGAACUCAAACUAGAGAGAAACCCUAUAAAUACCCUGAAAGUGUUAAGUCUUUCAACCAUCUUACCCCUCUUGGUGAACAAAAAAUGAUGAAAAGAGGGAAGAAACUGUAUGAAGGUAAGCACUUUGGGGACAUCUUCACCUUGAGUUCAUCUCUUAAUGAAAACAGGAGGAGCAGCCCUGGAGAGAAAUUGUAUAAAUGUACUGAAUGUGGCAAGUGCUUCAAACGGAACUCUUCUCUUGUUUUGCAUCACCGAACUCAUACUGGAGAGAAACCUUAUACCUGUAAUGAGUGUGGAAAAUCCUUCUCCAAGAACUAUAACCUGAUUGUGCAUCAAAGAAUCCAUACAGGAGAGAAGCCCUAUAAAUGCAGUAAAUGCGGGAAAGCCUUCAGCGAUGGGUCGGCUCUGACGCAACACCAGAGGAUUCACACGGGGGAGAAACCUUACGAAUGUCUAGAAUGUGGGAAAACCUUCAACCGAAAUUCGUCCCUGAUUCUGCAUCAAAGAACUCACACAGGGGAAAAACCAUAUAGAUGUAAUGAGUGUGGGAAGCCUUUCACGGACAUCUCCCACCUCACUGUGCAUCUCAGAAUCCACACUGGGGAGAAGCCCUAUGAGUGUAGCAAAUGUGGAAAGGCCUUCCGAGAUGGCUCGUACCUCACCCAGCACGAGAGGACUCACACUGGAGAGAAGCCCUUUGAAUGUGUGGAGUGCGGGAAAUCCUUCAACCGUAACUCUCACCUCAUCGUGCAUCAGAAGAUCCAUUCUGGGGAGAAACCCUACGCGUGUAAAGAAUGUGGGAAAACGUUCAUUGAGAGUGCCUACCUCAUCAGGCACCAGAGGAUCCACACCGGUGAGAAGCCCUACGGCUGUGACCAGUGUCAGAAACUUUUCAGGAACAUAGCUGGCCUCAUCCGUCACCAGAGGACUCAUACUGGUGAGAAGCCCUACGAGUGCAAUCAGUGUGGCAAAGCUUUCAGGGACAGCUCCUGUCUGACAAAGCACCAGAGGAUUCACACUAAGGAGACCCCAUACCAGUGUCCGGAAUGUGGGAAGUCCUUCAAGCAGAACUCUCACCUGGCUGUACAUCAGAGACUCCACAGCAGGGAGGGUCCCAGCCAUUGUCCUCAGUGUGGGAAAACAUUCAGAAGGACCUCUUCCCUCAUCCGACACCAAAGGUCACACCCCGGAGAACAGCCUGUGGACGUUUAAUGAACGUGGGCCACACUCAUCUCCCGACUGGCUCUCGGAAACCUAGGUGAAGGAGAAGUGUCUUCUGGGUGGCUUCUCCCUGUCAGUGGAAGAGACAGCUUUGGGCUAUCCAGUGAAUUGAGGAAUGUGAGACAUUUCUUAGCCAUACUGUUAAGUCUGUACAUUAGGGAACUCUUGGAGAGGAUACAGGAUGGUAAUAAAUGUGGCAAAGGCUUCAGGGGUGAUUCAGCCUGUACCAAACAUGGUAGUGCAUACACUGGAAUAAAGCCUUUGAAAAUCAGGUAGAUACUUCCCUGGAGGACCCACCUACCCAUAUGUCAGAGCCCUUAAGCUGGAAAGAGCCUGUGUAAUUGGAUGAGGAAUCCUUUAGCAGAGAGUGUCUGCCUUACUGUAUGUAAGCAAACUCUUACUGGAUUCCAGCGAGGGAAGCUUCCGGCAGGAGCCCUGACUGUCUUGCCUGUGUCAGCAAAGGCGUGCUUGUGCUGGUGAGAAAGCCCACCCAGUGUUCCACCCACAGCAACCACAGAAUCACAGAGGAUUGCUGUUUGAACAUAUUUUCUGCUAGAUGCCGAGGGCUUGUGUCAGCGGGGCAGCUGGGUGAGGAAGUCGCUUGUGAGUGAACAAUGAUGUUAUCCCUCUUAAGUGGAGACUGAAGCAGGUUCCUCCAGGAAGGAAAAGGCUGCUGCUGAGAAAUGUGAUGUGUUGCUUUAGUCGUUGAGACAAGCAGAAAAACACCAGCCUGCUCCUGACUGAGACUGCAGGGCCACUGAUGAUCUGCACCUCACCUUCAUACAAGUGAGGAAAAGCAUCCCUGUCCCGGGACAACGCAAGAGGAAAACUCUCCCCUCGCAGCAGUGUUCACUUUGGAGGCAGUACUGCUGGGUGCCGGGCGAGUCUACACCAGUGCUAACAGCUGAGGCUGAGAAAGCUGGGGCAGCCCCUGACAAGCCUUGCCUGACCGGUGACCAGUACAACUGGUUUUAACCAUUCCUCUGGUGGCCAGUACGGCUGGUUUCAACCAUUCCCUUCCAGACCCAGGCCCUCCUCUGUUCUCCCACAGGCUAGGUUGCAGAACUUCAUUAACAGCAGUCAGGAGGCUUUGAUCCCUGGUCAGGGAACUAAGAUCCCAUAUACCGUGUGGUGGGGUGGCCAAAAAAUAAAAAAACAAGCAAACAUAGCGGUUAGGAACCCUCGUUGGUAGGCUGAAUAAUGUCCUCCCACAUAUGUCUACAUCCUAAUCCGUGGAAGGAACGAUUCAGUCAAAGCUUUUCCUGGAUUACCUGGGUGGGCCCAGUGUCAAGUCAUCGCAGGGGUCUCAUAAGAGGAAGGCAGGAGGAUCCGAGUCAGAAGAGGGGAUGUGACAAUGGAGCCGCUUCUAGCAGCCGUAAAAGGCAGGCACACUGGUGUCCUCCCUGGAGCCUCCAGAAGGAACCAGGCCUGGUGACACCUUGAUUUUAGCCCCACGUGACUCAUUUCUGAUUUCUGGUCUCCAGGGUAAACUGUGCAGCAGUAACAAAUGACAGCAAGCAUCUCAACACCAAGGCUCCGUGUCUACUGCAGCUCAGCUGCUGCUCUCCUCCAUGCUGCCAUCACUCUGGGGCCAGCGCUCUCGGAGCUGCCUCUCUGCCUGGGGCAUUGCUGGCCUCACCACAGAGUAAGAGAAGACAGGUGGACCCAUGCAGGGGCUCUGAAAGCUCACCUCUCACCGCCAAGGCAAGUCCGUGACCCAGCCUGACGGCACUGGCACAGGAACCUGUAAUCUGCCAGAGACAGCAAAUAUUCUCAACCAUCAUACCGGUUUCCUCUGUUUCUUUGUUUUUUUUCUGGCCUGGUCAUAAUGUUUUAGUUGAUAGCACCUGUCACUUCCCUGUCCCGUCUUCUCCCAGCCCCCCCUUGGUCAUUGUUUGUGAUUCAGUGGCCUCCCUGCCCUUCCUCAAACAAGCUAGGGCCUCUGCAAUCCCUGUUCUCUCCGUGGGGAACGUCUUCCCCCAAGAGCUGGGCUCACCUCACCUCCUGCAGUCCAUCACCCACACAUCACCUUCUCAGUGAGGCCUUCCCCUACUACCUGCUCCACAGUCACACUCUGUCCUCUUUCCCUGCACUGCGUUGUCUCCACAGCGUCAACCGCCAUCCAACGGAUGCGUGAUCCGUGAUGCAUUGUGCUUGUUUACCUUCCCUGCUGGACUGUAAACACCUUGGCCUGUUUUCUGCUUUAUCCCCAGCUGCUAGAAUACCACAGCAAGUACUCAAUAAAUGUUUGUUGAGCUAAAAGAGUUAGAUGGUGGUAAACCGCCGUGA
RNA transcript from Hippopotamus amphibius kiboko, 4040 nucleotides. It is a transcript of the gene named zinc finger protein 329, with no coding region annotated. The transcript is spliced from 4 exons. Lineage: Eukaryota; Metazoa; Chordata; Mammalia; Artiodactyla; Hippopotamidae. The record is from RefSeq and is a predicted model, not a curated record.